UCCCUUGUCCUCCUGCUUUUUGCUCCGUAAGAUCCACCUACAACCUCACAUCCUCAGACCGACCAGCCCAAGAAACAUCUCACCAAUUUCAAAUCCGGAAGGCAGGAAUGUCAGGCCUCUGAGCCCAAGCCAAGCCAUUGCAUCCCCUGUGACUUGCACCUAUAUGCCCAGAUGGCCUGAAGUAACUGAAGAAUCACAAAAGAAGUGAAUAUGCCCUGCCCCACCUUAACUGAUGACAUUCCACCACAAAAGAAGUGUAAAUGGCCGGGUCCUUGCCUUAACUGAUGACAUUACCUUGUGAAAGUCCUUUUCCUGGCUCAUCCUGGCUCAAAAAGCACCCCCACUGAGCACCUUGCGACCCCCACUCCUACCUGCCAGAGAACAAACCCCCUUUGACUGUAAUUUUCCUUUACCUACCCAAAUCCUAUAAAACGGCCCUACCCUUAUCUCCCUUCGCUGACUCUCUUUUUGGACUCAGCCCGCCUGCACCCAGGUGAAAUAAACAGCCUUGUUGCUCACACAAA
Molecule: long non-coding RNA, 524 nt
Organism: Pan troglodytes (chimpanzee)
Lineage: Eukaryota; Metazoa; Chordata; Mammalia; Primates; Hominidae
Exons: 2
Source: RefSeq, a predicted model, not a curated record